GAAAAGUACGUGCGAGGGGGCGGGGGAGUGGGGGGGGUGUUAGCGUUUGUCGGAAUGAUUGGGGGUGAAGGGGUGGUAGGCGGCCCGGUAAGUCCGCUGGGAAAGUCGGGGGCUCAACCCGCGAAAGGCGGUGGAGACUGGUGGGCUUGAGUACGGAAGAGGCGAGUGGAAUUCCUGGUGUAGCGGUGAAAUGCGCAGAUAUCAGGAGGAACACCGAUUGCGAAGGCAGCUCGCUGGGACGUAACUGACGCUGAGACGCGAAAGCGUGGGGAGCAAACAGGAUUAGAUACCCUUGUAGUC
Molecule: ribosomal RNA, 300 nt
Filed under: uncultured Sulfurospirillum sp.
Lineage: Bacteria; Pseudomonadati; Campylobacterota; Epsilonproteobacteria; Campylobacterales; Sulfurospirillaceae
Description: partial 16S ribosomal RNA
Rfam family: Bacterial small subunit ribosomal RNA (bases 52-300)
Source: RNAcentral